AUACUUACCUGGCAGGGGAGAUACCAUGAUCCUGAAGGUGGUUUUCCUAGGGCGAGGCUCAUCCAUUGCACUCCGGAUGUGCCGACUCGCGAUUUCCCCAAAUGUGGGAAACUCGACUGCGUAAUUUGUGGUAGCGGUGGACUGCGUUUGCGCUCUAGUA
Homo sapiens (human) is the source of this 160-nucleotide small nuclear RNA. The record is from Ensembl. Lineage: Eukaryota; Metazoa; Chordata; Mammalia; Primates; Hominidae.